AGUGGACGCUGGCGGCGUGCUUAACACAUGCAAGUCGAACGAGAAACGGAUUUAGCUUGCUAAAUUGCAGUCUAAGUGGCGCACGGGUGAGUAAUGUAUAGAUAAUAUGCCUUUUACUAAGGGAUAACAGUUGGAAACGGCUGCUAAUACCUCAUAUGCCUUUAAUACAUAAGUAUGCAAGGGAAAGAUUUAUUGGUAAAAGAUUAGUCUGUAUUGUAUCAGUUAGUUGGUGAGGUAAUGGCUCACCAAGACUAUGACGCAUAACUGGUUUGAGAAGAUGAUCAGUCACACUGGAACUGAGGCACGGUCCAGACUCCUACGGGAGGCAGCAGUGGGGAAUAUUGCACAAUGGGGGAAACCCUGAUGCAGCAACGCCGCGUGGAGGAUGACACAUUUCGGUGCGUAAACUCCUUUUAUAUAGGAAGAUAAUGACGGUACUAUAUGAAUAAGCACCGGCUAACUCCGUGCCAGCAGCCGCGGUAA
Molecule: ribosomal RNA, 483 nt
Filed under: uncultured bacterium
Lineage: Bacteria
Description: partial 16S ribosomal RNA
Rfam family: Bacterial small subunit ribosomal RNA
Source: RNAcentral